Molecule: unclassified non-coding RNA, 343 nt
Filed under: soil metagenome
Description: partial contains 5.8S ribosomal RNA, internal transcribed spacer 2, and large subunit ribosomal RNA
Rfam family: 5.8S ribosomal RNA (bases 1-120)
Source: RNAcentral
GAUGAAGAACGUAGCGAAAUGCGAUACGUAAUGUGAAUUGCAGAAUUCAGUGAAUCAUCGAGUCUUUGAACGCACAUUGCGCCCCCUGGUAUUCCGGGGGGCAUGCCUGUCCGAGCGUCAUUGCUGCCCUCAAGCACGGCUUGUGUGUUGGGCCUCCGUCCUCCUCCCGGGGGACGGGCCCGAAAGGCAGCGGCGGCACCGCGUCCGGUCCUCGAGCGUAUGGGGCUUCGUCACCCGCUCUUGUAGGCCCGGCCGGCGCUUGCCGACACAUCAAUCUUUUUUCAGGUUGACCUCGGAUCAGGUAGGGAUACCCGCUGAACUUAAGCAUAUCAAUAGCGGAGGA